UGCGGGGGGGGCAAGCGUUGUUCGGAAUUACUGGGCGUAAAGCGUGCGCAGGCGGCGCGUUAAGACAGGUGUGAAAGCCCCGAGCUUAACUUGGGAAUUGCGCUUGUGACUGGCGAGCUGGAGUGUGGCAGAGGGAGGUGGAAUUCCACGUGUAGCAGUGAAAUGCGUAGAGAUGUGGAGGAACACCGAUGGCGAAGGCAGCCUCCUGGGCCAGCACUGACGCUCAUGCACGAAAGCGUGGGGAGCAAACAGG
This 253-nucleotide ribosomal RNA is filed under the name uncultured bacterium. Its description in RNAcentral is "partial 16S ribosomal RNA". It matches the Rfam family "Bacterial small subunit ribosomal RNA", at positions 524 to 776 of the family's 1533-position model. The record is from RNAcentral.